This 119-nucleotide ribosomal RNA is filed under the name Pteropus alecto (black flying fox). Lineage: Eukaryota; Metazoa; Chordata; Mammalia; Chiroptera; Pteropodidae. The record is from RNAcentral.
GUCUAUGGCCAUGCCACCCUGAACAAGCCCGAUCCCAUCUGAUCUAGGAAGCUAAGCAGGGUCGAGCCUGGUUAGUAAUUGAAUGGGAGACCACCUAGGAAGAUCAGGUACUGUAGGCG